RNAcentral lists this unclassified non-coding RNA (404 nucleotides) under soil metagenome. Its description in RNAcentral is "partial contains 5.8S ribosomal RNA, internal transcribed spacer 2, and large subunit ribosomal RNA". The stretch from base 1 to 122 matches the Rfam family "5.8S ribosomal RNA", at positions 35 to 154 of the family's 154-position model. The record is from RNAcentral.
GAUGAAGAACGCAGUAAAAUGCGAUACUUGGUGUGAAUUGCAGAAUCCCGUGAACCAUCGAGUUUUUGAACGCAAGUUGCGCCCGAAGCCUUUUGGCCGAGGGCACGUCUGCCUGGGCGUCACGCAUCGCGUCGCCCCCCACAAUUCUCCGUAAAGGGAACGUGUGUUUUGGGGGCGGAUAUUGGUCUCCCGUGCUCAUGGCGUGGUUGGCCGAAAUAGGAGUCCUUUCGAUGGACGCACGAACUAGUGGUGGUCGUAAAAACCCUCGUCUUUUGUUUCGUGCUGUUGCUCGCAAGGUAAACUCUUUAAAAACCCCAAUGUGUCGUCUCUUGACGACGCUUCGACCGCGACCCCAGGUCAGGCGGGACUACCCGCUGAGUUUAAGCAUAUCAAUAAGCGGAGGA